UGGUCAAUGGACGCAAGUCUGAACCAGCCAUGCCGCGUGAAGGAUGACGGUCCUCUGGAUUGUAAACUUCUUUUAUCUGGGACGAAAACGGGAUUGUUAUCUCAAUUGACGGUACCAGAGGAAUAAGAACAGGCUAACUCCGUGCCAGCAGCCGCGGUAAUACGGAGGGUGCGAGCGUUAUCCGGAUUUACUGGGUUUAAAGGGUGCGUAGGUGGGCUUAUAAGUCAGUGGUGAAAUCUCCGAGCUUAACUUGGAAACUGCCGUGGAUACUAUAGGUCUUGAAUUAUCUGGAGGUAAGCGGAAUAUGUCAUGUAGCGGUGAAAUGCUUAGGUAUGACAUAGAACACCAAUUGCGAAGGCAGCUUACUACAUAUAAAUUGACGCUGAGGCACGAAAGCGUGGGGAUC
Molecule: ribosomal RNA, 406 nt
Filed under: uncultured bacterium
Lineage: Bacteria
Description: bacterial SSU rRNA
Rfam family: Bacterial small subunit ribosomal RNA
Source: RNAcentral